AAGUGUGAAUAAACUAUUUCCAGGGAACUCAUUGCUAAUUGCAUGGAGAGUUCAAGAAUUUCACCAUGACUUGCUACAGAAGGAAAAGUGCUGGGAUAUGUAGCUAAAUGUCCCAAAGCUCUAACUGCAACCCUCUGCUCCACCCAGGUUAAUCUACCUCUUAACAGCUCAACCAGAGGAGGAAUAACCCCAGCAUGAACAGAACUCUCUGCAAAUUCUUCCAUAUUCAUUGUGUAGGAACCAAUGAUAUGAGCUGCAUAAUAAGGGAUGUAGAUAUUUUGGUCAUGCGAAAGCCAGCGACGAUUUUUCAGUCCUUUCCAUAUUAGGGCAGACAUGCAUUCAAAUAUUCCUAGCUCUAUGAAUUCAGGGUCAUUUGGAUGCGCCAUUGCCGUGUUCCAAAGGCCACUGAUAGGGAGAACCUGACCAUCAUCAUCCUGACAUGGAAGUUCUCUAAAGAAUUUGAGUACACUCGCUCUACGCUUGCUCGGAUUCCCCUCCUUCAUAACACAAAAGAAGCAUCCCGGGUAUGGGCAAUCUGACGAAACUUUAUCCAUGCUUUGUAAAUGAGAAUUAUAAUCUCAUAGAUCAACAAGUCAAUUUCUCCUCAGAUAGCUAGCUAAAGCAAGGAAACCACUUCAAACCUGCAAUCAGUAUUUGGCAGAACAUCAGAUAGAUACCAACCCAAAAUCUAACUUUUAUCCAUGUCAUAAAAUACCAAAAAAAUUGACAAUGACUCUUCCUUAGUUCCCUAAAUAACAUUAGAUUAUCAGUGGGAAAAAAAAGAAGCACAAGACAUUCUUUUUACAAUGAUUUAAAUAUUAUAAAACUGCCCAACUUGCUGGGAAAUCUUCAAAACGAGUCCAAAUUACAUCAAGAGAUAGCUACAUAACAUAUAAAUUACAAGUAAAUUUGUAUGUUUAAUUUUCCAGCUUAAAUAGUUAGGGUAAAAAAACAGUACUAGUUGCUGAAACAGAAAACCGCACGAAUAUUCUCACAAUAAAAAUUAAAAAGUCAAACAAAGAGGGAAUCACAUAGGAAGAUACAAGAAAAAUGCUAGGCUACUAGCUACAAAACCAGUUAGUACGGACAAUUUCCACGUCAAUUCACACAAUCAGAGAUAUCAAUUUUUUUUGCCUUCCAGUGUCUUGCAAAAUCGAUUCUACAGUAAGCAACAUACAACCAGCUUCUCCGGUGGCCAAAAUCGAUUAUAAGAAAAAAAGAAAGAAAGAGGGAGUGUGUUAGAUUACCCCCAUUGCUCAAAGGUGUUGAAUCGCCGAAAAAGCAGAACACACGAGAGUGACGAGUGAGAGUUGAAGUGUGUUGGUGAAGUUCACGAGUGUUGUUCUUCAGCAGCGGUGUCGAUCGGUGAUGAAUGUAGAUGGCAGAUCCAAGUUCGCUAUCACUGAUAACAACCUUAGACCAUUCCUUAUCUGAUUCGAACUGUGCCUGAGAUGUUUGGUCGAUUUUUUUGUCUCUGUGGCUCACGCUUUUCUCACAACAUGGAUCGUUGUUCCGUUUGAUCUAGGUUAAAAUCUCAGACAGGGAGAGAGAAAGGGAGAGAAGGAGACAAAAGGUAGUGGGGGAAGACAACGGCAUAAUGGAGAGUGGAAACAGUGUUUACUAGACUGACUUUACUGCUUCAGUAAACUGUCUGAAACUCAAUAAUUCAUUUUCGGUAAUAAUUCAUUAUUCAUUUGAUUUUGAUUUUGAUUUUUAUGUCUGCGAGGAAAUCUAAUUUUCUUAAAAUAGACCAUUCAAAAUAAAUUAGGAUGGGGGAGGGAAUAAAUCAAUAAAUAGUAAUCUCACCGUUUAAUUGUUAUGGGUUGGAGUGGCAAAAUGGGCUUCAACUGUUGGGCCAGCAUGUUUGUCCAAUUUUUCUUUGUGGGUAGAAUUAAAACUUUUGAAUUGAAAUUUAAAAAAUGUGCUAGCACAAAUCAAUCCGCAUUUUAACGAGCCAAUGACGAGUUGAGUUUGACUCGCCCCGCCAACCCACAUUGUCACCCUACUUACGAGAACCAAAGGGGUAGGUCGGGUUAGCUCAUCAACCCAUAUUUUUCCACCUUUAUUUGCAAUUUAUAUUUUAUCUAAAUUUUUCAUGUUUACAUGACAUUAUCGUUUGUAACUGUUGGUUUAUUAUUGACUAUAAACUUUUGGUGAUGAUUGUAUAACACAUCUAGUGAUGUUGAGAAGAUUAUGUGAGUGCGUAGCAAAGAAAAUGACAUUUACUAAUAAUUUGGUGAAGAUUAUCGACAUUUACACUUGAUAGUUGUUAUUGAGGUUACAUUUAAAGUUUUUAGUAGUAACUCAAUGAUAAAUAUGUUUGAUAUUAUUAUUAGUGAGACUUUCUUGUUGAACUCAUAGGUAGCGUUUGGUAGACAGGUGAGAAGGGAACGGAACAGGACACAACCCUCUGCUCCACCCAGGUUAAUCUACCUCUUAACAGCUCAACCAGAGGAGGAAUAACCCCAGCAUGAACAGAACUCUCUGCAAAUUCUUCCAUAUUCAUUGUGUAGGAACCAAUGAUAUGAGCUGCAUAAUAAGGGAUGUAGAUAUUUUGGUCAUGCGAAAGCCAGCGACGAUUUUUCAGUCCUUUCCAUAUUAGGGCAGACAUGCAUUCAAAUAUUCCUAGCUCUAUGAAUUCAGGGUCAUUUGGAUGCGCCAUUGCCGUGUUCCAAAGGCCACUGAUAGGGAGAACCUGACCAUCAUCAUCCUGACAUGGAAGUUCUCUAAAGAAUUUGAGUACACUCGCUCUACGCUUGCUCGGAUUCCCCUCCUUCAUAACACAAAAGAAGCAUCCCGGGUAUGGGCAAUCUGACGAAACUUUAUCCAUGCUUUGUAAAUGAGAAUUAUAAUCUCAUAGAUCAACAAGUCAAUUUCUCCUCAGAUAGCUAGCUAAAGCAAGGAAACCACUUCAAACCUGCAAUCAGUAUUUGGCAGAACAUCAGAUAGAUACCAACCCAAAAUCUAACUUUUAUCCAUGUCAUAAAAUACCAAAAAAAUUGACAAUG
This 3008-nucleotide long non-coding RNA is filed under the name Lotus japonicus. RNAcentral describes it as "long non-coding RNA (LJAP_LNC001934)". The record is from RNAcentral. Lineage: Eukaryota; Viridiplantae; Streptophyta; Magnoliopsida; Fabales; Fabaceae.